AAAUGAUAGCGCCAGAACCGUUUUUUGUGACUCGGACGGUUAACGAGGUGAGAGGUGAUCGAAACUUCGGCGGAUGCCUCUCCGGCAGCUUUUGCAAAAUGCAAAAGCCUGUCGUUAAUAUAUGGACAAAUAUACAGGCAACUGUAAAACAAAGCCAUAUAUAU
Molecule: non-coding RNA, 164 nt
Filed under: bovine gut metagenome
Description: glmS glucosamine-6-phosphate activated ribozyme
Rfam family: glmS glucosamine-6-phosphate activated ribozyme aptamer
About the family: This entry contains a glucosamine-6-phosphate activated ribozyme that is found in the mRNA for GlmS. GlmS is an enzyme that uses fructose-6-phosphate and glutamine to generate glucosamine-6-phosphate. The ribozyme catalyses self cleavage of the glmS mRNA that is thought to regulate GlmS activity.
Source: RNAcentral